RNAcentral lists this long non-coding RNA (1172 nucleotides) under Macaca mulatta (Rhesus monkey). RNAcentral's name for it is "lncRNA (ENSMMUG00000050868.1)". The record is from RNAcentral. Lineage: Eukaryota; Metazoa; Chordata; Mammalia; Primates; Cercopithecidae.
CAAGGGAUAAAACAUUGAUCCAGGAGAUAACCUCAGCUGAAGAGGGACAAUUGGGGCGUUUAGUGGGUGAGGCGUUUCCCUUGUCAUUUUAUGCACGGGUCCUUAAAGUUCGUGUAGCAGGAACUCUGAGUAGUACCUGAUUAUGCACAGUACCUGUUUGUGCACAGUAGCUACCUGUGCACAGUAUCUGCUUGUGCACAGUACCUUCCUGAGCACCGUACCUGGGCCAUGCAGCUCCCAGCAGCCCUUUCUCUCCCCCUGCUGGUCAUGUGAUUUAAUUUUUAACUCACGAAAGGGAAUUCCCUGUGGAGGGGCUUGAGGGCCAAUUAAACACUCUACAAACUGACUUCACAGGCCCAGGAUGCAACCUGGCCUGGCCUUCUAACUUCCAGGACUUCAGGGAAACGAAAUUUCUCCCUGACCAACGUGGCAGUGACUAAGGUCUGUUAUCUUUUAGCUGGGCCUCAGGGGGAGGAAACUCAGAAUUAUGAAACGGGGCAGAGGCCUGGCCUGCACUGGAGUGAGUGCUGUGGGUCCCCAGCUUGUCUAGUUGUCUCACCCGAGACACUAAAAACGGCACAAAGAGCCGGCAGGCCACCCUGCACCCCGCACUUUGCCUCUGCCUUGUGACUGUGCUUAAUAUAGGUCAAAUGAAAACAGCUCCCAAAAUAGACCUCUGAGAAGCAGCUGCAGUUGUGAAAUGCUCCACAGAAAGGGAAAAGGUGUGGGUGACGGGAGCCCAGUUCUCCUCAGGUGUUACGUAACCCAGGCUUGGAAAUCGGGGCCAGAUGUCUGCAGAGAGCAAGCCAGCCCCUCCUGCCCUUUCCUCCCGGCUUUCCUCCCUCCAUGCCCCCACCCUAGACCCAGCAAUCAGCCCAACCACACAUCAGCAAACUCCGAGGGAGGGAGCUGGGCCCGUUCUGGACGGCAAGGUCACCCCUCAGAGCAUCCCUUGAGGAGCUGGUCGUGCAUACCUAAGCGAUCACGUGGCUCCCAGCAGAGCUGGCUGGGAGCUCCGGAAGUGGUCAGGGCAGAAAGUGGUAUGGAAGCGGGCGAGGCUGGAGGCAUAGCACGAAGGAGGGUGUGUGGUGGCACCCAACGCCCCCGGAGAGCUGACAGUGGUGGCAGCGGACGUGAAGCAAUAUACCAGAUUCAAGAAACCUUAGCAGGGC